GAGAGAUUGAUCCGUCUUAUUCCAGUUGCCUCAGGUGCAGAGCCCGAAGAGAAGAGUCUACAUUUAAUCGGGGGUGUCUUCAGCUAAACAAAACAGUCGUAUGCAAAUCCUUUUCCUAAGGGACAGCCAUGUGGACUCGUGACCUUUCUUUGAAUGGUUUGGAGCCCAGAAAUCAAUGAUUACACUAAAUCCAUAAUUAUAUUCUUUUCAUCUGUGGCAGGGCACUGAUAGCAUGACAGAUGUGAGACCUUGAAAGCAUGGGAACUUCAAAGACCAUUGAGGUGCGUUAGACACCAUGGACAUGUGGAGCAGGAAAAAAUAAAAUUAAAAAUAGCAAGAGGCUGCUCUACCAAUCCUUUGGGUGAUCUCUCUCCUGCACACGUGUGUACACACACAUGUACACAUUUACACAUGUGACUCAGGUCCCCAGAGAAGAGGACAACCUCAAAGAAUUAAAAAAUUUCAUCGUUGUUUCAUUUUACCUCAAGAGGCUUCCCAGAGAAAGAAGGGGAUGAGCUGGAGGAGCCAUGGCUGGAGACACAGCCUGGAAUCAAGAGAGAGAGACAAAACCUAAUCAUUAAUGCUGCAAAGCAACAGCAAAAGACACUCUGUUUUGAAGGAUCGAAUUGCUUCAGUGGCAAAGACAUGCCCCCCCCAAAAGUCAGCCUGUUUGGGGAAAACACCACAUGCUGAUUAGAGCUGCUCCAGCGACUGCCUGCUUUAUAUUCCACAAAGAUUUUUUUCAAUAAAGUAAUAACAACUUAGAUUCUUUUUUUUUUGGGGGGGAACCCAUAUUUAAACAUCACGGAUAGGAGCCUUCUAAUUUAUAAGCCAAGAUAUACAAAUCCUCUCUCUCAAAUUUCCUUUGUUGUUUUGUCCUCGCCGAGCACUCCCUUGCCUAUGAAUCACAGAAAGAUUUGAAGAACCUUUCAGUCAAAGCUCAGUUUUGUGCCAGUGGGCACUGGCCAGGAAAAAAAAAAAGAUUGAUAUUUGCCCUCUCUUCUUAUCUGCACUUGAUUUAUAAGUCAGUGCGAGUAUGCAAGAGAAAUAAAGGCAAAGACCUUGAUGCCUCCCUGUGGAGAAUAUGCACCAUUUGGAUUGAAGGCAUGAAAGAGGAGAAAUUAAUGGGCUGAGCAUUCGUGUCAUCUUGUGCUGUUUUUGAAGUAUUUUGGUCUGCUCGAGUCCUCGCAAUGCUCCUGUGACACCGAUGAACCUCUGUGUGCCACCAAAGAUCCUCACAUCAGAAGGCAAGGGCAGGCCGAGCUAAACAGCUGGCUGGAUUUGCAUGAAAAUGGACUGCCCUUUUUCAUUUGUUUGUUCUUGGGAAAUUACAGUAGGAAAUCCACAUAGGGAAUUGCUCCUGCUUUGCUCAUCUCCCAGCAGAGAUAUAAGGCUGGAUUUCCUCACUGGACAUAUCUCUGAUCUACAAUUUGAGUCUCUGAAGUGCUUGGAUUUGUUUGAAUGAACUCUUCCUGCUUUUGCUGUUUUAAUCAAACUGGGCUGGCAUGGCUAAAAAUCAGCGACAGUGGGAGAAGGAGCCAGUGCAUCAAGGGCCAGCUCUUGUUAUCAAGUUGUGAUUUUUCUUUGGACCUGUUCAGCUUUGCAAACUGUUGGUGGAUUCUGUUAUGGUUCCAGUGUGAUAAGGAAGAUUUUUUUGUGUUUUAAGAGUUACACCUUCACCUGAUACCAAACUGCUGCUGGACCUAUGUGAAUUUACACUUGGGGAGGGUCAAGUGCGAUAUGUGGGUCUACAUUUUGCCGAAAACGUUAUUCAGAUUCUAUUUGAAAAACCUAUUUUUACAUCGAAUCUGUAAUGUAGCUUCUUGCAUAAAUCCAUGGCUAUAAUUAGCAGUGUAGUACCACUGCCAUACUGAGGAAAUCUGGUGUAAUUUGGGGAAUCAGCUCUUUCUUCGGUACAAAACAAGCUAAAACUCCUUGUCCUGCCACCAAAACACCUGUGGCAAAGUCUGUGUAUACACAGCAGAGCCUGAUUUUGCUGCAGGAGGCCAAUGAAACUUGGCUCAAGUCCCCAUUCCUAUAGGACAACCCGAAGUCAAAGAUCUUGUCCUUUUUUUGAUGCCUUCUUGGUGCAACUAUUGGUCUCCUGUGGCUCUGUUGACCUCAGGGGUAGUGCCAGGACUCCUCUGAGCCUGACACCUUCAGAUUAUCCAUCUUUUCCCCAAACAACCAGAAUCCAGUUAUUGGUUGGGCUGAUGAUGACUUCAGCAUCACCCACCAUGCAGGGGAGAAAGGGAAUAUCUGAAGUGUAGAUUAAUUUGGAUUAGUCUUGAACAAAAGCGACGACCAUUAGAGUUUGUUAUGGCACGGUCAUUUCCAACUUCCACCUGAAUUAUGGGUGCACAAAGGCGCAUUUUCCCCCAAAUAGUGGGAAAACAAGGAUCUCCAUAACCCUGGGCCUCUCAGCAGUUGGAUUAAUUUGUUUGUGAGACAAUGUUUUGUUUUUGAAGCCUUUCACGAUGCUGAAAGGACGCCGAGAAAGUCUUCGCAUGAUUCUUGAGUUUCAAUCGAGAAAAAACAAAUGUGGCUCUUUUCUGUCAAUAUUUUCUCUCCGUGUAUUUUGUGUUAAACUCCUGUACAGAGGGACUGUGUGUUAUUGAUAAUGUGGGACUGGACUUGGUGGAUUUUAAUGUCUUUUUUCAUGUUUAUAUGGAACAUUUUUGAAGCAGCAAUUAAAAUAAUUAAGGAGGGUGAAGAAAUCUUUAGCAUGCAACAAAGAUUUCUGCAAAAUGUUAAUUUCUGUCAAAUAAGUGAAUAUAUGCACAGAUGCCUCCUGACAGAGGCUGUGAUUUCUGAGUGCUUUGCAUGCCAAAUAACUUGUUUACCCCCUCAAUGUUUGCCAAGUUUACUGUCAAUUUACAAAUAAUUUCCAUUUUGCUGUUUAUUCUGCUGCCUUUUGAUGGAUAUGUCUUCCAGACUUUUAUCUUGCAUGUAGACAAACUAAUUAAUAUUUUCCC
This is a long non-coding RNA of Corvus hawaiiensis (hawaiian crow), 2975 nucleotides long. RefSeq lists it as uncharacterized. Lineage: Eukaryota; Metazoa; Chordata; Aves; Passeriformes; Corvidae. The record is from RefSeq and is a predicted model, not a curated record. The transcript is spliced from 6 exons.